Varroa destructor (honeybee mite) is the source of this 948-nucleotide long non-coding RNA. NCBI's taxonomy places the organism in Eukaryota, Metazoa, Arthropoda, Arachnida, Mesostigmata, Varroidae. The record is from RefSeq and is a predicted model, not a curated record.
UUCAAUGUUUGCUGCGCAUGCAGGCCAUCGUAUACAUUGCCAGUCGUAAGUGUUUGACGCGUAAAACCAAUGUGGUAGACUAUACCGCAGUCGAUUUUCUUAUUCACCUACUAGACGAAAGGUUGAGCACAUUGCCUCGUGUGUCCAGUGCGUACGCACCAGGGCAGGAAAACCUGUAGUAUCGUUUAGGUUUCUCAAGCAACGCCAGUACCGGGCGUAAAAUGCAAAACAUCUAUUUAGUAUCGUCACGACAAAAAGGGUUUCAUUGUACUUGUUUCGUUGCGCAUAUACGUUCAGGUAAGGUUUGAGAACGCAUUAUCAACGGUAUAGCAAUUGGCGCUGGCAAUGGACGGAACGGAGAUGAUUCCGUUGCUUAUCGCUUUCACGUACGAAGGCGGAACAUUUUAUUUAAGAAUAUGUUUAACCACACUUGCGGGGGGCAGUGGACACCUCGUCCGCUCAUCCUUCUUGUCGGCCAGGGUAACCAGGCUUAAAAUCCGACUGAGCAAGCGAAAAGAGAAGUUGUUCGAAGCUAGUAAGAGUGACGUAUUCGACUCAUGACCUCCUUAUCGAGUCAAAAUUCAACGGAUCUGGUUUUUGUCCCGACUUAGAACAGGAGGCGCUGGGAGACGACGAAAUGGCUGAAGGAAAGGCAAAGUGUAGACAGACUCCAGUGAAAUGAAGACAGAUGCCGAGCUUCUCAAGCCCUCUACCAAACAACUGUCGUCCAUGACCCGGCCUACAUUCUCAUACACUCGUGUUCCAGCAUAACGUUGUUCGCCUUGUUUGCACUUGCCAAGACGCUGCCGCUGUCACUAAAGGAGUGCCUUACCCCUUGAUCCCAUUAUUUUGCGAUACCCCGAUCCUCUUAAACCCUCAGCUAAAACAGUUAUUUUGGUCUGCCGAGAAAGAAGAAAAGAGGCCAAGCGCCGGAACAAACCCUGAGAA